CCAACGCGCAUGCGCACUUGACUUCAUUCCGUUAGCUGUCAAAGUAGAAUGUUUUCCUCCCUCCACAGGGACCAAAGUUAGCGCAAAGACCAGCUUCCAGCUAAUUUUUAACUUACAAAGCCACGGACAACUACACAGGAAGGACGUUUAAGAACACAGACCAAACGUCGGGCUCAGGGGGCUGUUUUCUAAGAGCUGAGGUGAACAACUUGGACGCUGUCGUCGUUCCUCGAACGGUAACGUGCUAACGUCUGCCUAGAAACCUGGAGCUUAACUAAUGCUAAAGGUUGCACCGAGCUUCAAGAAGAGACUUUUAAUUACCUUCACAUUUAAACAGUUAAAGUAGAACAGGCAUCGAGGGCAAACUAUGGUCGUUACAAUAUUGGAGGGUGUGACCCAGAACAGCGGAUAAUAAAAGUAAACCACGUGUCCCGUUGCGAUGGGCAACCGCGGGAUGGAGGACCUGAUCCCGCUGGUCAACCGCCUCCACGAGGCGCUGGGCAGCGUGGGACACAGCUGCAGCCUCCAGCUGCCGCAGAUCGCUGUGGUGGGCGGCCAGAGCGCCGGGAAGAGCUCGGUCCUGGAGAACUUCGUGGGCAGAGAUUUCCUUCCACGGGGCUCAGGAAUUGUCACGCGCAGACCUUUAAUCCUUCAGCUGCUUCAUGCCAACACAGAGUAUGGUGAAUUUCUUCAUUGCAAAGGAAAGAAGUUCACAGACUUUGAUAAGGUGUGCAAGGAGAUCGAGGCAGAGACAUGCAGGGUUACAGGAUCCAAUAAGGGCAUCUCUUCUGUCCCUAUCAGUUUACGCAUCUAUUCACCACAUGUUUUGAACCUGACUCUUGUAGACCUGCCUGGAAUUACCAAAGUCCCAGUGGGUGACCAGCCAGCUGACAUAGAGUACCAGAUACGAGACAUGAUCAUGCAGUAUAUCUGUAAUGAGAACUGUCUCAUCCUGGCUGUUUCACCAGCCAAUGCUGACCUGGCCACCUCUGAUGCACUCAAACUGGCCAAAGAUGUUGACCCGCAGGGCCAGCGCACAAUUGGUGUAAUCACUAAGCUGGACCUCAUGGAUGGAGGAACAGAUGCACGAGAAAUACUGGAGAACAGGUUGCUUCCACUACGCAGAGGUUACAUAGGGGUGGUAAAUCGCAGUCAGAAGGACAUUGAUGGGAAAAAGGACAUUAAAGCAGCUCUGGAUGCAGAGAGGAAGUUCUUUCUGUCCCAUCCAUCCUACAAACACAUGGCUGAACGGAUGGGAACUCCAUAUUUACAAAGGAUUCUCAACCAGCAACUGACAAACCACAUCCGGGACACUCUGCCAGCCUUCCGUAGUCAUCUGCAGAGUCAGCUCCUGGCCUUGAACAAAGAGGCUGAAGAGUACAGGAAGUACAGUCCUGAUGACCCUGCACGUAGGACCAAGACAUUGCUGCAGUUAGUUCAGCGCCUGGCUGUUGACUUUGAGAAGUUAAUCGAGGGCUCAGGCGACAAAGUAGACACAGUUCAUUUGUCUGGAGGGGCUAAAAUCAACAGAAUCUUCCACGAGCGCUUCCCCUAUGAACUGGUCAAGAUUAAAUUUGAUGAAAAGAAGCUGCGGCAGGAAAUCAACUACGCCAUAAGAAACAUCCACGGUGUCAGGACAGGUCUGUUCACUCCAGACUUGGCCUUUGAAGCCAUAGUGAAGAAACAAAUACUGAGAGUAACAGGUCCAUGUAUGAAGUGUAUUGACAUGGUCAGUCAAGAAUUAAUUACCACUGUGUACCAGUGCAUUGACAAGCUCACUUCCUUUCCCACACUGAGAAAUGAGACGGAGAGAAUUGUGACCUCUGAAAUCCGAGAACAGGAGAGUAAAUGCAGAGAGCAGGUGAUGUUGCUCAUUGACAUACAGCUUGCCUACAUUAAUACCAGACAUGAAGAUUUUGUGGGCUUCACUAACGGCCAGCAGAUGUACACCCAAGGCAAUAAGAAGGUUCCUGAGAGGAUGACAGGAAACCAGGGUGUGGCCCCUCCCUCAAGUCUAAUAGUGAUACGCAAAGGAUGGUUGACACUCAAUAACAUCAGCAUCAUCAAAGGCGGAGCCAAGGAGUACUGGUUCAUCCUCACAGCAGAGACUCUGUCUUGGUUCAAAGAUGAUGCGGAGAAAGAGAAGAAGUUUAUGCUUCCCCUGGACAACUUAAUGCUCAAAGAUGUGGAGAAAGGCUUCAUGUCCAGCAAAUGUGCCUUUGCUAUCUUCAGCACAGAGUUAAGGGUGGACAUGAGAGGAGAAAAGGGCGCGAAUAGCAGAUUGGAGUUUUGCACUUCCUAUGAGCUCUUCUAUUCAACUUUGCCACAGGAAGUGAAAAGCACAUCCAGUAGGUACGGCAGUGGGUGUAGUUUUAUCAUCUCAGAGUAAGCGCUAGGCUGUAGGGGAUAGGGCAGAGACGGAGUUUGCUGUCUGUGAAGCAGAUUGAAAAACAGAGAGACAAGAGACAGAGAGCGUGUGUGUGUUUAGGUGCUGGACCUGACCCAAAACCUGGCUGAUUGUACCAGAGCAUGUGGGAUUUGUUUAUAAUUCUGUGCUAUGUUGCAUUCGGACACAGACUAGAAUCAGCUUUGUGUGUGUGUGUGUGUGCGUGUGUGCGUGUGUAUGUGUGUGUGUGUGCCUGUAUAGACCACAGCAUACCGACGGCAGGCUCAUUAAGCAGCUAAUCAAAGCCAGAGAGCUUGGAUCAGAGAUGAGGCUGCUCUUGUUUGGAAAGAAUUGCUCGACUCACCACAAAAAGAGGGGAGAGAGAAGAAUUGGAAGGGUUGAGAGGAGAAAGAAAGAGGGAGAGCGAGAGUAUCAGAGACAUCAGCCAGGAAUGUGUCAAAGUCUGUCCUGUGGCGCCCCCCUUUUCCCUGCGCCCUCACGCGCUCUGUUUCUCUUUCUGCAUGUGUGUGUGUGUGUGUGUGUGUGUGUGGGGCAGACAUUGCAGUGGUUCUGUCUGUGUCUGACAGUAAUCAAAACUGCAGGAAACUCUUCAAAUCCAAAGCAGUUAGGGGAACAGAAAUGCUAAGAUGGGUGAAAGAAGCUAGCGAAAGGGCAGCGAUGCGGUGAAAGACUUCUGAUAUGAGCCAUAAAAAGAGUAAAGGGAGCAACUUUACUGUGUAAUAUCAUGUGCAAUAUCAUGGUAGUAUUGUCAUUGUUGGCCUGGCUCCCUGUCCGUUAGCCACCACGCCCUGACUUACAGUAUUAGCCUCACCCGUUCUGUCCUGGCCAUAAGCUGACAAAGUGACAGCCUCCUUCUUGAUCUUCUGUAGAGCGCUCUGUUGCCGCAACCCUCUGUUUUUCUCUGUCCGUUUCUGUUUGUCUCUCAUUCUCACAAAAGGUUUCGCAUAUUUGAGGUUAAUUACUGUGUGUUUCGAAUGUGAGAAGGGAACAACAAAAGGAGGAAAGAAACAACGGAGUGAUUAAGGAGAAAUGUUUAACAGAUGGACACCAGCGCUCCAGAUCCUCCGCUCGCUUCUCGCUCUGCUGCGCGGCCUCCACAGCUGAAGCACGGAGAUGCUGCAUGCGUGAGCGUGUGGAGGGGAAAGUGGGAGGAAAGGUAGACAGGGGAAGCGGAUGCAAGCUAGAAUGUAGAUCAUGACGUGAGUGCAUUUUCAUUUAGAUACAUUCAUCUAAAACUGACUAAAACCCUGCUCAUCGCCAGUCAUUGUCCCAAAAGUCUGUGAGGUUUGUGUGAAAUCAAUUUUCAUUUACUUGAUGACGGAGGUAUUAAAUACUUUAUCAAUGGGAGUAGCUCAGGUGCGUUUCAUGUGAGCAGAGGCCACUUGGUCCCACUCGCUUUUUUUUAACAGCCCCAUGUUAAUGGGUUCACAUGUGGUACAUGAACGCAACCUUGUUUCACAAACAUUCAACUCGUGUACAAAGUGGGUUCGGAGCGAGGGAGUGAACAAGGGGCUAUUACGAAAUCAGAAUACCAGCACUUAGAACAUCCAUUUGCUCGUGGUACAUUGUUCAACUCUGAAGUCUUCUCGCUGCUACUUGACAACAUUUAAAAUGGCUCAACUCAGAUAGAGCAUGUGGCGGACAGCUUUUUGCAGGGCACACGCCUUUCCACGAAGGAGACAACGUCUGACUAAAAGUGAUGUCGGAACGUAUAUAAGGACUACAAAUGCCUGGAGCUGGCCUGCAACUCCCAGGAGGAGCUGGACAGCUGGAAGGCUUCUCUGCUACGCGCCGGAGUGUACCCUGAGAAAAUCCCU
RNA transcript from Betta splendens (Siamese fighting fish), 4224 nucleotides. It is a transcript of the gene named dynamin 3a, with no coding region annotated. The record is from RefSeq and is a predicted model, not a curated record. Lineage: Eukaryota; Metazoa; Chordata; Actinopteri; Anabantiformes; Osphronemidae. The transcript has 18 exons.